GGCUCCAUUCUAUUGUUGGAGAAAGCCAGGUGUGGGUGGCAAAAGGAUGGCCCUGCAUGCAAGAACUAGGUUGAGAGUUCAGAUUCGGGUUGUGAGAAGAGGGAGGCGGCAGCAAGACAUCGUGUGCGCAGUUGGAUACUGUAUCAAGAAUCUUCCAGAACCCAGGGGUCUAGGAGGUCCCCGGACGCUGCUGUCUCUCACCUGUUGAUGGAGCUGACACUGGGCACAGUGUCAUUGUCACAAACACCUUCCGCCAGGAGCCGGUCCCGGAUCUCCCAAGCAAACAUGGUUCCAUGGUUCAAGUUGAAGCUGCUUCUCCCAGACUCCGAAGUCCAGCCUCACUUUGAAUCCCUGGCCUGAUUCAGCCCCUGAAGAUGAGCCUCCUCCCCCUCCAGACCUCUCCACCCCACAAGGAGCUGGCUGACAGAUUCAUAGCUUGAUCAAGAUGCCCUCUGGCCAUCUUUGGUCUUCUGCGGUCUCUUCUGCCAAUGAAUACAAUGGUCUUUAAGAAAACGCCAUUGUCAUGGCCAAUCAGAGCUUGUCUCCUCUCUGGGACUCCACAAUCAUCUGACUAAUACUCUCCCUGGCCCUAAGAAAAGGCCUCUUUCCUCUAAUAGCUUCAGGCAGAGAGCCAGGACUCUCCAUGGCCAAUCAGCCCAGCCCCUUUACUGAGGCAGAGUUUCCCUUGAAUUUACAUAGGGUCUGUGGGCGCCCCGCUGGCCAGUAAGGUUGACAGGACAUGCAACUUUGGAAUCCCCAAGUUCUCUACUUAAAGGACAUUUCUGAUGGAAGCGUCAAAGGCUUUAGUGUUCCUUGUCCUUCUGAACCUGUGCCCUGUGGUUCUCAGCCCUGAAUGAAAGAAUUUGAAUGGUGUGGGUGGGGUGCAGGCUACUGCUAUGCAUACAUUUGAGUCCAUUCCCUUCUAUGAUCUGUGCUCUGGCCUAGACCCUGACCUUAUUUAUUGUGAGAGUUUAGAGUUUCCUGGCACAGCCAGGGCUGUGAGCCACCACACUGGGUCAUCCCUACUUCUGAGGUUCGUGUUUCCCGGCCAUCUUACAAAAGCCACAGGCCUCGCUGAGAGGCUGACUCAGUAGGGCUGGGCUGUGAAUUUCACCAAACACUCUCAUUGCUUCUCUAACAGGUACUCUGAAAGCUGUGGGCUGAAAAGCACAAGGUCACGUGCUGCGUGGGCCUGCAGCUGUGAGGUUGACCACAGAAAGGGAGCCUUGCCGGGAAGGUGGUGUGUGGUGAAUUUCGUGCUUACCUGCCAAGGAUCUUGCUGACACAGCCAUGGCUGACACGGAGCUGGCGAGAGAUAUCACAGGGCCUUACGCCCUGGUGGGCCAGGUCCACAAUGCGUUGACGGACAACUUCCGGCAGAGGCCUGCCGUUCACAAAGGCCCCUCCUAGCUGAUUCAGCCCUCCAUGGCCUAAAAAGACAGGGUUGUCAGGGACCAUUGUCAGAACCAGGCGGCAAAUGUUGGGUGAGACUUAGCCUUGAGUGAGUACUGUGUGUGACCGUGUCUGGGCACUGCAUGGUUAGUUCCUUCAGCAAUCCCUCUGUGUACACCCCCAUCUUGCUCAGAAACACACCUCCUGGGGAGGCUGGCACAGCGGUAUAAGCGCCUCCCCCAUCUGUCACGCCAGGGUUCAAAAGGAGCACAUCACUAUCAGGUGACCCUUUAGGUCUGCUCCAUCUUCAGACUCCCCACCCUUUGUGCCAAGUAUGGCCAAUGACCUCUUUCCCCCAUUUCCUUCAUUCGCAGACAAGACAGGAGUGGAGGAUUCAGGCUUUUCUUAAGUUGAUACACUCAGCUCACUGAGUGACACGGAGGAAAAUAUCCCUUCCCCCUGAAGUUCCUUUUCUUUUCAUUAAAAUGAAGGCAAAAGAUGA
Long non-coding RNA from Mesocricetus auratus (golden hamster), 1894 nucleotides. RefSeq lists it as uncharacterized. The record is from RefSeq and is a predicted model, not a curated record. The transcript has 3 exons. NCBI's taxonomy places the organism in Eukaryota, Metazoa, Chordata, Mammalia, Rodentia, Cricetidae.